Molecule: ribosomal RNA, 485 nt
Filed under: uncultured bacterium
Lineage: Bacteria
Description: bacterial SSU rRNA
Rfam family: Bacterial small subunit ribosomal RNA
Source: RNAcentral
GCGACAGGCCUAACACAUGCAAGUCGAGGGGCAGCACAAGGAGCAAUCUGAGGUGGCGACCGGCGCACGGGUGAGUAACACGUAUGCAACCUGCCUGUAAGCGGGGAAUAACCCGUUGAAAGACGGACUAAUACCGCAUAAUACUAAAUUACUGCAUGGUAAUUUAUUUAAACAUUUAUGGCUUACAGAUGGGCAUGCGCAUGAUUAGCUAGUUGGAGAGGUAACGGCUCCCCAAGGCAACGAUCAUUAGGGGUUCUGAGAGGAAGGUCCCCCACACUGGUACUGAGACACGGACCAGACUCCUACGGGAGGCAGCAGUGAGGAAUAUUGGUCAAUGGACGAGAGUCUGAACCAGCCAAGUCGCGUGCAGGAAGAAUGUCCUAAUGGAUUGUAAACUGCUUUUGCAGGGGAAUAAAGUGCAUCACGUGUGAUGUUUUGUAUGUACUCUGCGAAUAAGGAUCGGCUAACUCCGUGCCAGCAGCUGC